Molecule: long non-coding RNA, 4092 nt
Filed under: Homo sapiens (human)
Lineage: Eukaryota; Metazoa; Chordata; Mammalia; Primates; Hominidae
Source: RNAcentral
UGUGUUUGUGUGUGUCUUGAGACAGGGUCUCACUCUGUCACCAAGGCUAGAGUGCAGUGGUGAGAUCAGAGCUCACUGCAGCUUCCACUUCCUGGGCUCAAGCGAUCCUCCUAUUUCAGCCUCCAGAGUAGCUGGGACUAUACGAAUGUUUUACCGCACCCAGUUCAUUUUCUAAUUUUUUGUAGAGAUGAGGUUUCACUGUGUUGCUCAGGCUGGUCUUGAACUCCUGGCCUCACGGAAUCCUCCUGCCUUAGUCUCCCAGUGGGCUGGGAUUAUAGGUAUGAGCCACCUCACCUGACCUGCGACGAUUUUUCAAUGAUGUAAUUUCUCUUUUACAGAGCCACCUAAGCUGAAGAUUCCCUUGAGAACAAGUACUGUCCCUGGUUUCCCAGUGCUGGAAUAUAGAAAAUGGAUGGACAAGUAAAUCCCACUCAGCACCCAUAGUCCAGGCGUGGGGACCUCAACACACCUGAGCCCCAGACAUCACCUUUCAUUGCGAGUAGCUCUGAGAUGACACUUCUGCUGUUCCCAAUUCCAGCAUUAAUUGGAUUAGAUAGUUAUUUUAUGAAGAAUUUUCAUAUGCCACAAUCCUGACCAUAUCUUCAAGUGAACAGAAAAAUUCUAUUAAAAAGUCAACCUUCUGUCUCACUCUGUUGCCCAGACUGGAGUGCAGUGGUGCAAUUAUGGCUCACUGCAGCCUCAACCUCCUGGGCUCAAGCAAUCCUCCUGCCUCAGCCUCACAAGUAGCUGGGACUACAGGUGCUUGUCACCACACCUCACUAAUUUUCCCAUUUGUGUUAUAUGUGGAUUCCACAGGACUGACUUCGAAAACUUGAGUAUGCGUGGAUUUUGGUAUACACAGAAAUGGGAGAGCUGGAACUAAUCCCCCCAUAUACCAAGGGACAAAUUGUAUCUGUUUUUACAAUUAUACAGUAGGAGACAUUAUGUUCCAUGACAAUGGUAAUUUUUAACGACAGUUUUUAAUUGAGUGAAAUUACCAUAAAAAUAAUAAUAGUAGCAGCUAAUAUUUACUGAGCUGUUACUAGGUGCCUAUAAAUAGCAUAGAUUUUUAAAUUCUCCAUAAUUCUUCCUUAUUUCACUUAACCACUCUAUCUUAAAUUACUCAUGCUUGCCUCAGUAGCACACAUACUUAAGUUGGAACAAUAGAGAGAUUGGCACGGCCUCUGUGGAAGAAUGACAUGCAAAUUUGUGAAGCAUUCCAUAUUUUUUUAAAAAAAGAAAAAAAAAUUACUCCCAGAUUUUCACUGUGUUUGUGCAUAUGACCUUUUGUUUAGGUUGAAUUAUAUCCAAAGGUGAAAUUUCGAGAAGUGAGAUUACUGUGAGUCACAGGGCAUGAGCAUUCUUAUUACCCUCGAUGUAAAUUGCAAAGCUUUCAGGCAUGGUGGCUGUCAGCCUGUAAUUCCAGCACUUUGGGAGGCUGAGGUGGGAGGAUUGCUUGAGGCCAGGAGUUGGAGGAGGCAGUAUAAUGAGUCACUGUCUGUAUGAUUUAAAAAAAAUUUCCAAGCUUUAUGCUGGAAGGCUUAUAUACAUUUUAAACACCACUAAUACUACAAGAAAAUGGCCAUUUCACUGCACCUUCGCCCACACAGGUAUUAUAAUUUAACAAGUUAUUUUCUGUGUGAUAAAUGAAAGACCUCAUAUUAUUACUUUGUCACCCAUUCUUUUUUCUUUUUUGAGACACAGUCUCGCUCUGUUGACCAGGCUGGAGUGCAGUGGUGUGAUCUCGGCUCACUGCAACCUGUGCCUCCCAGGUUCAAGCGAUUCUCCUGCCUCAGCCUCCUGAGUAGCUGGGAUUACAGGCACAUGCCACCAUGCCUGGCUAAUUUUUGUAUUUUUAGUAGAAACGUGGUUUCACCAUGUUGAUCAGGCUGGUCUCGAACUCCUGAUCUCGUGAUCUACCCGCCUUGGCCUCCCAAAGUGCUUGAUUACAGCUGUGAGCCAUGUGCCCAGCCUAUUUGUCACAUAUUUUAUCUUUCCUUAUGUUAGCUUAUUAGCUUUAUUUCUUUAUUGUCCUUUUUUUUUUUUUUUUUUUUUGAGAUGAAGUCUCGCUCUGUCUCCUAGGCUUCAGUGUAGUGGCACAGUCUCAACUCACUGCAGCCUUGACCUCCUAGGCUCAGGUGAUCCUUCCACCUCAGUAGUUGGGACUAUAGGCACAUGCCACUAUGCCUGGCCAAUUAUUUUUAUUUUUUUAUUUUUACUAGAGAGGAGGUCUUGCUUUGUUUCUUAGGCUGGUCUGGAACUCCUGGCCUCAAGCAAUCCCCCCACCACCCCCUCCCAAAGUACUGGUAUUAUAAGCAUGAGCCACCAUGCCUGGGGUAUCUGUGUCUUUUCCAUUUAUUUAUAGAGUUACUUUGUCUUUUACUAAUUCAAUGAUCUGUUUAAUCUUUUAUUAAAUUAUAAAAAUAAUAAAUACUUUUAAAUAAGUGAAAAAUGUCCUUCACUCUUUAGACCCAUAAUCUUAUCUCAGGAAAUAAUUGCAGUUGAGAAAAUGGGCCAUAUCCUUCAAGAUACGUACAUGGUGAUUGAACAUCACUUCAUAUUUUCAUAUUUCGUGGACAUUUGUGCCAAUACCUAUUGAUCUAUCUUAAUCCUUUUCAUGGUUGCAUAAUAUUUUAUUAUAUGGAUGUGUCACAAUUUACCAGUACCAGUCAACUGCUGGAGGCAUUUAGGCUCCUUCUAAUAUUUGCUUUGAGCUCUUUAUAUAAUUAAAAAUUAACCCCCUCAGCCAGGUGUGGCAGCUCACACCUUUAAUCCCAGCAUUUUGGAAGGCUGAGGUGAGAGAACUGCCUGAGUGUAGGAGAUCACCACCAACCUGGUCAACAUAGUGACACUUUGUCUCUACUAAAAAUUAAAAAAAAAAAAAUGAGCUACACGUUGCAGUGCACACCUGUAGUCCGAGCUACUGGGGAGGCUAAGACUGGAGGAUCACUUGAGUCUAGAAGGUUGAGGCUGCAGUAAGCUAUGAUCACACCAUUGCACUUUAGCUUUGCUAAGAGCAAGACUGCACUUCUUAAACAAAAUAAAAAUUAGAUGGGAAUAUUGCUCAAGCCCUGGAGGUUGAGGCUGCAGUUAACUGUGAUUGCAGCACUGCAGUCCAGCCUAGGUGAUAGAGCAAGACCCUUUCUCUAAAAAUAAAAUAAAAUAAAAAUUAACCUUCUAUCAUAUUUCCCAGUAACACCUUCCCUCCUACAUUUCUCCUAGAAGCCCUUAAAUUUUGUUUUUCACAUAUCGUUUAAAACUUUUAAGCGCUGAUGUCUGUCUGUGUCAUCCCUCUUUUUUUUUUUUUUUUAAAUGUCUUUCUGGACCUACCAUGAAAGACUUCUGAAUCCAGGAAGAGAAACUGACUGGGCAACAUGUUAUUCAGACUUCUGACCAAAUGUGUGUGCAGAGUUUCUACACCAGUUCUCCAACUCUCUGGAUACCAACCGCGUAUCCCACAAUUCCAUUCUGACACUACCUAGAGUUAGCACAGAACCCACAGGUUAGGGGCUCAGUCCCACAAGACCACCCUCACUUCAGAUGCCAGUUGCAAGUCCUAGGUUGUCACCUGUAUUUUGACCAACCAGUUAGAAAUCAGGGUUUCCCAUGACCCUCUUGUUGAGUUUAAUUAUUUACUAGAACAACUCACAGAACUUAGAAAAACAAGUUUUUUUUCUUUUCUUUUUAAGAGACAGGGCCUCGCUCUGUUGUCCAAGCUGGUGUGCAGUGGUGCAAUCAUAGCUCAUUGAAGCCUCAACGUCCAGAGCUCAAGUGAUUCUCCUGCUUCAGCCUCUCAAGUAGCUGGAAUUACAGGGUUCCCACCACCACAUUUGGCUAAUUUCUUUUAUUUUUUGUAUAGAUGGGGUCUUCUUAUGUUGCCCAGGUUGGUCUCAAAUUCCUAGGCUCAAGUGAUUCCGCCCACCUCUGCCUCCCAAAGUGCUGGGAUUACGGGCAUGAGCCAGCGCAUCUGGCCACCUUAUUUUCUAUUACUGGCUCAAUGUAAUGGCUCCAUCUCAGGAACAGCCAAUGAAAGAGAUGCACAGGACAAGAGAUGGGACCUCAGUAUGUUGCCAUGGCUGACCUUGAACUCCU